GACGAACGCUGGCGGCGUGCUUAACACAUGCAAGUCGAACGGAAAGGCCCUGCUGUUGUGGGGUGCUCGAGUGGCGAACGGGUGAUUAACACGUGAGUAACCUGCCCUGGACUUUGGGAUAACUUCAGGAAACUGGGUCUAAUACCGGAUAUGAGCUCCUGCUGCAUGGUGGGGGUUGGAAAUUUUCGGCGGUUGGGGAUGGACUCGCGGCUUAUCAGCUUGUUGGUGGGGUAGUGGCUUACCAAGGCUUUGACGGGUAGCCGGCCUGAGAGGGUGACCGGCCACAUUGGGACUGAGAUACGGCCCAGACUCCUACGGGAGGAAGCAGUGGGGAAUAGUGCAAAAUGGGCGGAAGCCUGAUGAAGCAACGCCGCGUGCGGGAUGACGGCCUUCGGGUUGUAAAACGCUUUCGCCUGUGACGAAGCGUGAGUGACGGUAAUGGGUAAAGAAGCACCGGCUAACUACGUG
Molecule: ribosomal RNA, 468 nt
Filed under: uncultured bacterium
Lineage: Bacteria
Description: partial 16S ribosomal RNA
Rfam family: Bacterial small subunit ribosomal RNA
Source: RNAcentral